This is a non-coding RNA of Oryctolagus cuniculus (rabbit), 2595 nucleotides long. The record is from RefSeq and is a predicted model, not a curated record. Lineage: Eukaryota; Metazoa; Chordata; Mammalia; Lagomorpha; Leporidae.
GCUGCUCUCGAGGGUGGCAGCAACGCCCAGUGUUCUCUGGCGCAAGACCACGGGAGUUGAAAACAUGGCUUCAUCAUGCGGAUCUGAGAAGCUUGUGGCAAAUUACCUAAACCUUCUGUGUCUCAGUUCCUCAUCUGUGAAGUGAGCAACGUAACCUACUUGCUCCACAUGACUGACAUCUCUGAGCCAGCGCCAAUCCCCGGGGACCCACCAGCGACCUGGCAGCUGUUCUUCUUGCACAGAAUUCAGUUCCGCUCACUGCCAGCUGCGUGGCUGGACAGCUCAACGCUGCCACGGGCGCUCCCAGAACCUCCACGUCCCAGGUCCUCUGAGGGCUCCCUCCUGACCACGCUGGCCGACCUCCAGGGUUUUCUGGAGAAAGCACCUUCCCUCUGGUGAAAUGAAUUACCUGGUGGGAAUACAUCACCAACCACAGGACAGAGGUGGAGGGGACAGCGAAUUUUGCAAGUGACACAAUCGCUGGCGCUUCCCUGCUGUUCCACCCCGAAUCCGGCGGCGCAGACACCAGUUCCCGUGCAGCCAGCCUGCCCCGCUCACCCCGGCAUUCGUGUCUCCCAUUGCCCUGUCCCAGGCUUGCUCCCAGGAAUGCACCAGAAAUCGUGAGUGGGUAAGAAGGAACGGCAACGAGAAAGAUUAAGAGGCAACCACUGUCUUGGGGAGCAGUGAUACUCCCUGAGGUCGCCAUUUGCCUGAAAACAGAGCAUGGAGUCAUGCAGACAGUGACACGUUACCUGGAAACACCAAGCCCUCGUGCACAUUGUGUGUGAAAGUCUAGGUGCCCUCUGCGCUAUUUGGAGAAGGUGCGAAGAUGCCCUCCCGAGCCCAGUGGUUAGGAAUCAGGUACCAAAGUCCAGCAGACCAGGGUGGGCUGCACUUGAUCUACUGAUUCCCAAUGACAUGACCCGAGACCAGUAUGUGACCUCCUCGUACCUCCACUGUCUCUUCUAGAAAUGAGAAUAGUGUAGUCCUUGCCUCAUGAAGGGCUCUAAGGACCAAGAAGCGGAAGGCUGAACCCUUCACAGCGGCUCUGGAGGGAAGCGGUAACCCCCUAGAGAGACCCAUGUCUGUCUCGGUUCUGCCAUCCCCCUGGCAAUGACUUAUCUCCUUCCCUCCCACACAAGGACACCUGAUUCCCUACAGACUCUUCCCCCUGCCAGGCAUCCAUCCCAGAGGACUUGCCUCCCCUCCUGCCUCGUUCUUGGCUGUGUUCUUGGCUUUGAGACAGGUUUCUUAAAUUGUUUUCCGGAGUUGCAAGUGACUCAGCCGUUGCUUAGGGAUUUAAUUAACUGGCAGUCUGAGGCUUGAAAGAGACAAGCCUCUGGGGACUUCUCCCUUCCUUGGUUGGUUGGGAGCAGGGUGAGAAUGGAAUGAGAAAUCCUCUAGAACUACACUGUCCAGUGUGGGAGCCACUGCACACGUGGCCACUGAGAACUUGAACUGUGCAACCUAAAGAAAGAUGUGCUUUAUGUACCAUGUAGGUGCAGAGGACCCAAGCACUUGGGCCACCCUCGGCUGCUUUCUCAGGCACAUUGCUAGGGAGCUGGAUCAGCAGUGGAGCAGCCAGGACUCGAACCAUUGCCCAUAUGGUAUGGCAGCACUGCAGACAGCAGCUUAACUGGCUGAGCCACAAUGCUGCCUCAAUAAUUUUUAAUUUAUUAUAAGUUGAAAUAAUAUUUUUGAUUUAUUGGUUUCACUUUUUAAAAUGUGGCUACUAGGCCAUUUAAAAGUACCUCUGUGACUGUGGAUGGUAGUGUUCUAGAACAUUCAUAAUUUAAUAAUUUAAUAACUCACCAACACUUCUUGGAAGUGACUUUAAUGUAGGUCUAUCUCAGUCCAUUUUGUGCUGCUAUAAAACAUACUUAGGGGCUGGUGCUGCGGUAUAGCGGGUAAAGCCACCGCCUGCAGUGCUGGCAUCCCAUUGUUAGACCCUCGGAGUGAGGAUGCUAACACGUCGAGAGGCACACCCCAAAGACUCAGAGUCCAGAUCAGCUGAUGCAAAAGCAAGAGGAUUUAUUCGGCGUCUGCAAAGACGGACCUCCUGAACUCGGGAGUCCAGAGAGUGCCCCCAGCACAAAGCCACACAGUUUAUAUACCCGCAGCGACCAAUCAAAAGCACUAUAGAGUCCAUGCAUACAGCAGUCCAAUCCGCGAGCUGAUCAUGUGAAGGGCAUGCGUCUUCUAUCCAAUCAGCUACGGGAUCACAUGGGAGGCAUGCACCUUGUCGCCAUUUUGUUGUUUACUUCUUUAGUAGUUCCUUUCCCUGCCAGCCCAUCUUGUUCACCCUGAGGGGGACGACGUCUCGCUCCCUUUGUUCCCCUGGUGGGAGAGCGGUGUCCACUUCCCACACUGUUAUUUGAGUAUUAGGAGGCAUACAAACUGGGUUAGGUCUUAGCACAGCCAGGCACAAGUGUCGCAGCUAGCUAAGCAUAGGGUCCCUUAUUUUUAUAGCUGCACCUAAUUUUAGCUUUGGGGGAAAAAGUUUAGGGCUAUAAUUUUUAACUUUAAUUUUAUUUGGGGCAAAGGUAACUUCUUGUUUUUAAUGGUAUUGGCUUAGGUCACUCCAUCUUGGUUUGA